Molecule: ribosomal RNA, 372 nt
Filed under: uncultured bacterium
Lineage: Bacteria
Description: bacterial SSU rRNA
Rfam family: Bacterial small subunit ribosomal RNA
Source: RNAcentral
UACGGAGGGUGCAAGCGUUAUCCGGAUUCACUGGGUUUAAAGGGUGCGUAGGCGGGUUGAUAAGUCAGUGGUGAAAGCCCCGGGCUUAACUUGGAAACUGCCAUUGAUACUGUCAAUCUUGAAUGUCGUAGAGGUAAGCGGAAUGUUGCAUGUAGCGGUGAAAUGCUUAGAUAUGUUACAGAACACCAAUUGCGAAGGCAGCUUACUAUGCGAUAAUUGACGCUGAGGCACGAAAGCGUGGGGAGCAAACAGGAUUAGAUACCCUGGUAGUCCACGCCUUAAACGAUGAUUACUCGAUGUUGGCGAUAUACAGUCAGCGUCUUAGCGAAAGCGUUAAGUAAUCCACCUGGGGAGUACGCUCGCAAGAGUGAA